RNAcentral lists this microRNA (19 nucleotides) under Corchorus capsularis. RNAcentral's name for it is "sRNA CCACVL1_28261". Lineage: Eukaryota; Viridiplantae; Streptophyta; Magnoliopsida; Malvales; Malvaceae. The record is from RNAcentral.
AACAAUAAUCAAAUGAAAA